RNAcentral lists this ribosomal RNA (1553 nucleotides) under metagenome. RNAcentral describes it as "bacterial LSU rRNA". It matches the Rfam family "Bacterial large subunit ribosomal RNA", at positions 1226 to 2912 of the family's 2925-position model. The record is from RNAcentral.
UACAUGGAGAGCUUUCUGUGAAGCCGGGCUGUAAGGCAUCCGGUGGAGAGAUCAGAAGCGAGAAUGUUGACAUGAGUAGCGACAAACAGGGUGAGAAACACUGUCGCCGAAAGUCCAAGGGUUCCUGCUUAAAGCUAAUCUGAGCAGGGUAAGCCGGCCCCUAAGGCGAGGCCGAAAGGCGUAGUCGAUGGGAACCAGGUUAAUAUUCCUGGGCCAGUGGGAUGUGACGGAUCGCAGAUGUAGUUUGCCCUUAUCGGAUUGGGUGGGCUGCUGAGCGGUUCCAGGAAAUAGCCCCACAUCAGACCGUACCCUAAACCGACACAGGUGGACUGGUAGAGUAUACCAAGGCGCUUGAGAGAACCACGUUAAAGGAACUCGGCAAAAUGCCUCCGUAAGUUCGCGAGAAGGAGGCCCCAUAUGUACGCAAGUAUGUGUGGGGGGCACAAACUAGGGGGUGGCGACUGUUUACUUAAAACACAGGGCUGUGCGAAGCCGUAAGGCGACGUAUACAGUCUGACGCCUGCCCGGUGCUGGAAGAUUAAGAGGAGGGGUGCAAGCUCUGAAUUGAAGUCCCAGUAAACGGCGGCCGUAACUAUAACGGUCCUAAGGUAGCGAAAUUCCUUGUCGGGUAAGUUCCGACCUGCACGAAUGGCGUAACGAUCUCCCCGCUGUCUCUAACGUGGACUCAGCGAAAUUGAACUGUGUGUCAAGAUGCACACUACCCGCGGUUAGACGGAAAGACCCCAUGAACCUUUACUCCAGCUUUGCACUGGUAUCAGGAUUGUGAUGUGCAGGAUAGGUGGUAGGCAUUGAAGCGGGGACGCCAGUCUUCGUGGAGCCUCCCUUGAGAUACCACCCUUCGCCAUCUUGAUAUCUAACCGCGGCCCGUUAUCCGGGUCCGGGACCCUGCAUGGUGGGGAGUUUGACUGGGGCGGUCGCCUCCCAAACAGUAACGGAGGCGCGCGAUGGUUGGCUCAGACCGGUCGGAAAUCGGUCGUUGAGUGCAAUGGCAGAAGCCAGCCUGACUGCAAGACUGACAAGUCGAGCAGAGACGAAAGUCGGUCAUAGUGAUCCGGUGGUCCCAAGUGGGAGGGCCAUCGCUCAACGGAUAAAAGGUACUCUGGGGAUAACAGGCUGAUGAUGCCCAAGAGUCCAUAUCGACGGCAUCGUUUGGCACCUCGAUGUCGGCUCAUCUCAUCCUGGGGCUGGAGCAGGUCCCAAGGGUAUGGCUGUUCGCCAUUUAAAGAGGUACGUGAGCUGGGUUUAGAACGUCGUGAGACAGUUCGGUCCCUAUCUGCCGUGGGUGCAGGAGACUUGAGAAGAGUUGACCCUAGUACGAGAGGACCGGGUUGAACGAACCACUGGUGGACCAGUUAUCGUGCCAACGGUAGUGCUGGGUAGCUAUGUUCGGACAGGAUAACCGCUGAAGGCAUCUAAGCGGGAAGCCCCCUUCAAAACAAGGUCUCCCUUGAGGGCCGUGGAAGACGACCACGUCGAUAGGCCAGAGGUGUAAGUGCAGCAAUGCAUUCAGCUGACUGGUACUAAUUGCCUGA